GUCCCCACUUUGCAGGACCUAUAUUCAAUUCAGAAAAAUACAGAGGAGAUUAGCAUGGUUCCUGUAUGAGGAUAACAAACAAAUUAGUGAAGCAUUCCUUAUUUGA
Small nuclear RNA from Lutra lutra (Eurasian river otter), 106 nucleotides. The record is from RefSeq and is a predicted model, not a curated record. Lineage: Eukaryota; Metazoa; Chordata; Mammalia; Carnivora; Mustelidae.